UCUGGCGGCAGUAGCGCGGUGGUCCCACCUGACCCCAUGCCGAACUCAGAAGUGAAACGCCGUAGCGCCGAUGGUAGUGUGGGGUCUCCCCAUGCGAGAUUAGGGAACUGCCAGAC
This 116-nucleotide ribosomal RNA is filed under the name Escherichia coli. Lineage: Bacteria; Pseudomonadati; Pseudomonadota; Gammaproteobacteria; Enterobacterales; Enterobacteriaceae. The record is from RNAcentral.